UACGUGAGGGGCGAACGUUGUUCGGUGUCACUGGGCUUAAAGGGCGCGUAGGUGGUUGUGUAAGUCACGUGUGAAAUCCCUCGGCUUACCCGGGGAAUUGCAUGUUAUACUGCAUGACUUGAGGAUCAGAGGGGAAUGGGGAACUCCAGGUGUAGCGGUGAAAUGCGCAGAUAUCAGGAGGAACACCGAUGGCGAAGGCAGGUCUCUGGGCUGACACUGACGCUCAUGCACGAAAGCGUGGGGAGCAAACAGG
RNAcentral lists this ribosomal RNA (253 nucleotides) under uncultured bacterium. RNAcentral's name for it is "partial 16S ribosomal RNA". It matches the Rfam family "Bacterial small subunit ribosomal RNA", at positions 524 to 776 of the family's 1533-position model. The record is from RNAcentral.